AUGGCGCUGGAGGGAGUAGCCGGGCUGUUGAGGGGGCUGAAGUUGACGGAGGAGGAGAAGAAGGGAGUCAAGGUUCGAUCUCAUGGGGGGGGGGGCAAGGAGGCGGCUCUGCAGGCUGUUGGUAAGGUAAUGUCAGAAAAAUUGGCACACCGCGACGCGAUCUGUCUCUCUCUUGGCAAGGUAUGGUGUCCGAUUAAAGGGAUCGACUGCAGAGAGAUUGGGGCCAACCAGUUCCUAUUCACUUUCCACCAAGAGUCAGGGAAGCGCAAGGCGAUCGAGGAUGGACCAUGGAUGUUUGAUAAGGAAUUGGUGGUGGUUGAGGAUUAUGUGCCCAGUAAAAGGCCAGAAGACUAUGCUCACAACAACAUCCCCAUCUGGGUUAGGGUUUAUAACCUACCCCUCGGCAUGAUGAACGAAGAAGCAGCAGAGGACAUCGGAAACAUCAUUGGCGUGUUUGUGGAGGCAGAUACUGGACCAGAUGGGAAAGCUUUUGGAAGAUUCCUUAGAGUCAAAAUCAGGAUGCAGAUCGACAAACCAUUGAUGAGGGGUUUUACUCUAGAUGAAGACGUUGUUGUGGGAGAGGAAGGGGCAAUGGGAAGGCAGACAUGGUGA
Molecule: ribosomal RNA, 612 nt
Filed under: Triticum aestivum (bread wheat)
Lineage: Eukaryota; Viridiplantae; Streptophyta; Magnoliopsida; Poales; Poaceae
Description: partial small subunit ribosomal RNA
Source: RNAcentral